GCUUUUAUCAGUUUUCUGCAUGGGAUGUAUUCAUUUGAAAUUUCUUAACUUUUUGAUGUUUGCUUAGAUGGCGAUAUUUCAAGUUUUGUCAUGGACUCAAAACUCCCAUUUGUUUAAGAAUUUUGACUUCUUCAUUUAUACAAGACAAUUUUUAAGUUUUGGGUGAGUAUUGGGAAUGUUAAAGGUUAGAAUUGGGAAUUAUAAGUGUGUUGUCGUUAUACUAGCUUAUAGUAUUGAGGUCUGCUGUGUAACCCAAUUUUCACCCAAUACUCAUAUAAAUUUGGUCAUAUCGAGCAAGGGCUCACCUAUGAUAUUACUAU
This 320-nucleotide long non-coding RNA is filed under the name Mytilus galloprovincialis (Mediterranean mussel). The record is from RNAcentral. Lineage: Eukaryota; Metazoa; Mollusca; Bivalvia; Mytilida; Mytilidae.